This is a long non-coding RNA of Equus quagga, 238 nucleotides long. RefSeq lists it as uncharacterized. Lineage: Eukaryota; Metazoa; Chordata; Mammalia; Perissodactyla; Equidae. The transcript has 3 exons. The record is from RefSeq and is a predicted model, not a curated record.
AGGAAUGUAUAUGUGGCUGAUCUCACAGAAGAAGUUGUUUAUACACCAGAAAUGGCUUUGAAGUGGAUCACAAAGGGAGAAAAGAACAGACACUAUGAAAUCACAAAGAUGAAUCAAAGGAGCAGUCGUUCUCAUACCAUUUUUAGGAUGAUUUUGGAAAGUAGAGAGAAAGGUGAACCCUCUAAUUGUGAAGGAUCUGUCAAGGUGUCCCAUUUGGUGAGUAUUGGUAAACCCUGCU